This 594-nucleotide ribosomal RNA is filed under the name uncultured bacterium. RNAcentral describes it as "bacterial SSU rRNA". It matches the Rfam family "Bacterial small subunit ribosomal RNA", at positions 247 to 835 of the family's 1533-position model. The record is from RNAcentral.
AGUUGGUGAGGUAACGGCUCACCAAGGCUCGGAUGCGUAGCCGACCUGAGAGGGUGAUCGGCCACAAUGGGACUGAGACACGGCCCAUACUCCUACGGGAGGCAGCAGUAGGGAGUUUUCGGCAAUGGGGGGAACCCUGACCGAGCAACGCCGCGUGAAUGAAGAAGGUCUUCGGAUCGUAAAGUUCUGUUGUAGUUAGGGAAAGCCUGGAAGAGUGGAAAGCUUUCAGUUUGACCCGACUACCAGAAAGCCACGGCUAACUACGUGCCAGCAGCCGCGGUAAUACGUAGGUGGCAAGCGUUAUCCGGAAUUAUUGGGCGUAAAGAGUGAGCAGGCGGCCGUUUAAGUCUGAAGUCAAAUGCAGUGGCUCAACCACUGUCCGCUUUGGAAACUGGAUGGCUAGAGUACGAGAGAAGUAUGCGGAAUUCCAUGUGUAGCGGUGAAAUGCGUAGAUAUAUGGAGGAACACCAGAGGCGAAGGCGGCAUACUAGAUCGAUACUGACGCUCAGUCACGAAAGCGUGGGUAGCAAAUAGGAUUAGAUACCCUAGUAGUCCACGCCGUAAACGAUGAGAACUAGGUGUAGGGGCGAACCC